UUUAUGGAGAGUUUGAUCCUGGCUCAGGAUGAACGCUGGCGGCGUGCCUAAUACAUGCAAGUCGAGCGAACGGACGAGAAGCUUGCUUUUCUGAUGUUAGCGGCGGACGGGUGAGUAACACGUGGAUAACCUACCUAUAAGACUGGGAUAACUUCGGGAAACCGGAGCUAAUACCGGAUAAUAUUUUGAACCGCAUGGUUCAAAAGUGAAAGACGGUCUUGCUGUCACUUAUAGAUGGAUCCGCGCUGCAUUAGCUAGUUGGUAAGGUAACGGCUUACCAAGGCAACGAUGCAUAGCCGACCUGAGAGGGUGAUCGGCCACACUGGAACUGAGACACGGUCCAGACUCCUACGGGAGGCAGCAGUAGGGAAUCUUCCGCAAUGGGCGAAAGCCUGACGGAGCAACGCCGCGUGAGUGAUGAAGGUCUUCGGAUCGUAAAACUCUGUUAUUAGGGAAGAACAUAUGUGUAAGUAACUGUGCACAUCUUGACGGUACCUAAUCAGAAAGCCACGGCUAACUACGUGCCAGCAGCCGCGGUAAUACGUAGGUGGCAAGCGUUAUCCGGAAUUAUUGGGCGUAAAGCGCGCGUAGGCGGUUUUUUAAGUCUGAUGUGAAAGCCCACGGCUCAACCGUGGAGGGUCAUUGGAAACUGGAAAACUUGAGUGCAGAAGAGGAAAGUGGAAUUCCAUGUGUAGCGGUGAAAUGCGCAGAGAUAUGGAGGAACACCAGUGGCGAAGGCGACUUUCUGGUCUGUAACUGACGCUGAUGUGCGAAAGCGUGGGGAUCAAACAGGAUUAGAUACCCUGGUAGUCCACGCCGUAAACGAUGAGUGCUAAGUGUUAGGGGGUUUCCGCCCCUUAGUGCUGCAGCUAACGCAUUAAGCACUCCGCCUGGGGAGUACGACCGCAAGGUUGAAACUCAAAGGAAUUGACGGGGACCCGCACAAGCGGUGGAGCAUGUGGUUUAAUUCGAAGCAACGCGAAGAACCUUACCAAAUCUUGACAUCCUUUGACAACUCUAGAGAUAGAGCCUUCCCCUUCGGGGGACAAAGUGACAGGUGGUGCAUGGUUGUCGUCAGCUCGUGUCGUGAGAUGUUGGGUUAAGUCCCGCAACGAGCGCAACCCUUAAGCUUAGUUGCCAUCAUUAAGUUGGGCACUCUAAGUUGACUGCCGGGGACAAACCGGAGGAAGGUGGGGAUGACGUCAAAUCAUCAUGCCCCUUAUGAUUUGGGCUACACACGUGCUACAAUGGACAAUACAAAGGGCAGCGAAACCGCGAGGUCAAGCAAAUCCCAUAAAGUUGUUCUCAGUUCGGAUUGUAGUCUGCAACUCGACUACAUGAAGCUGGAAUCGCUAGUAAUCGUAGAUCAGCAUGCUACGGUGAAUACGUUCCCGGGUCUUGUACACACCGCCCGUCACACCACGAGAGUUUGUAACACCCGAAGCCGGUGGAGUAACCUUUUAGGAGCUAGCCGUCGAAGGUGGGACAAAUGAUUGGGGUGAAGUCGUAACAAGGUAGCCGUAUCGGAAGGUGCGGCUGGAUCACCUCCUUU
Molecule: ribosomal RNA, 1552 nt
Filed under: Staphylococcus aureus
Lineage: Bacteria; Bacillati; Bacillota; Bacilli; Caryophanales; Staphylococcaceae
Description: 16S ribosomal RNA
Rfam family: Bacterial small subunit ribosomal RNA
Source: RNAcentral